RNAcentral lists this small RNA (28 nucleotides) under Bombyx mori (domestic silkworm). RNAcentral's name for it is "ovarian small RNA-12284". The record is from RNAcentral. Lineage: Eukaryota; Metazoa; Arthropoda; Insecta; Lepidoptera; Bombycidae.
AGUCUGUCAAUAAGUUCAUCUAUAAUGG